Molecule: ribosomal RNA, 1016 nt
Filed under: Bifidobacterium asteroides
Lineage: Bacteria; Bacillati; Actinomycetota; Actinomycetes; Bifidobacteriales; Bifidobacteriaceae
Description: bacterial SSU rRNA
Rfam family: Bacterial small subunit ribosomal RNA
Source: RNAcentral
CGGGAUGACGGCCUUCGGGUUGUAAACCGCUUUUGAUUGGGAGCAAGCGAGAGUGAGUGUACCUUUCGAAUAAGCACCGGCUAACUACGUGCCAGCAGCCGCGGUAAUACGUAGGGUGCAAGCGUUAUCCGGAUUUAUUGGGCGUAAAGAGCUCGUAGGCGGUUCGUCGCGUCUGGUGUGAAAGUCCAUCGCUUAACGGUGGAUCGGCGCCGGGUACGGGCGGACUGGAGUGCGGUAGGGGAGACUGGAAUUCCCGGUGUAACGGUGGAAUGUGUAGAUAUCGGGAAGAACACCGAUGGCGAAGGCAGGUCUCUGGGCCGUCACUGACGCUGAGGAGCGAAAGCGUGGGGAGCGAACAGGAUUAGAUACCCUGGUAGUCCACGCCGUAAACGGUGGAUGCUGGAUGUGGGGCCCGUUCCACGGGUUCCGUGUCGGAGCUAACGCGUUAAGCAUCCCGCCUGGGGAGUACGGCCGCAAGGCUAAAACUCAAAGAAAUUGACGGGGGCCCGCACAAGCGGCGGAGCAUGCGGAUUAAUUCGAUGCAACGCGAAGAACCUUACCUGGGCUUGACAUGUGCCGGACGGCCGCGGAGACGCGGCUUCCCUUCGGGGCCGGUUCACAGGUGGUGCAUGGUCGUCGUCAGCUCGUGUCGUGAGAUGUUGGGUCAAGUCCCGCAACGAGCGCAACCCUCGCCUCGUGUUGCCAGCACGUUAUGGUGGGAACUCACGGGGGACCGCCGGGGUUAACCCGGAGGAAGGUGGGGAUGACGUCAGAUCAUCAUGCCCCUUACGUCCAGGGCUUCACGCAUGCUACAAUGGCCGGUACAACGGGAUGCGACAUGGCGACAUGGAGCGGAUCCCUGAAAACCGGUCUCAGUUCGGAUCGGAGCCUGCAACCCGGCUCCGUGAAGGCGGAGUCGCUAGUAAUCGCGGAUCAGCAACGCCGCGGUGAAUGCGUUCCCGGGCCUUGUACACACCGCCCGUCAAGUCAUGAAAGUGGGCAGCACCCGAAGCCGG